RNAcentral lists this ribosomal RNA (676 nucleotides) under Ostreococcus sp. 'lucimarinus'. RNAcentral's name for it is "SSU rRNA". It matches the Rfam family "Eukaryotic small subunit ribosomal RNA", at positions 601 to 1296 of the family's 1831-position model. The record is from RNAcentral. Lineage: Eukaryota; Viridiplantae; Chlorophyta; Mamiellophyceae; Mamiellales; Bathycoccaceae.
CGUUUUUAGUUGUUGCAGUUAAAAGCUCGUAGUCGGAUUUUGGCUGAGAACGGUCGGUCCGCCGUUAGGUGUGCACUGACUGGUCUCAGCUUCCUGGUGAGGAGGUGUGCUUCAUCGCCACUUAGUCACCGUGGUUACUUUGAAAAAAUUAGAGUGUUCAAAGCGGGCUUACGCUUGAAUAUAUUAGCAUGGAAUAACACCAUAGGACUCCUGUCCUAUUUCGUUGGUCUCGGGACGGGAGUAAUGAUUAAGAGGAACAGUUGGGGGCAUUCGUAUUUCAUUGUCAGAGGUGAAAUUCUUGGAUUUAUGAAAGACGAACUUCUGCGAAAGCAUUUGCCAAGGACGUUUUCAUUGAUCAAGAACGAAAGUUGGGGGCUCGAAGAUGAUUAGAUACCAUCCUAGUCUCAACCAUANACGAUGCCGACUAGGGAUUGGCGGAUGUUAAUUGAUGACUUCGCCAGCACCUUAUGAGAAAUCAAAGUUUUUGGGUUCCGGGGGGAGUAUGGUCGCAAGGCUGAAACUUAAAGGAAUUGACGGAAGGGCACCACCAGGCGUGGGAGCCUGCGGCUUAAUUUGACUCAACACGGGGGAAACUUACCAGGUCCAGACAUAGUAAGGAUUGACAGAUUGAGAGCUCUUUCUUGAUUCUAUGGGUGGGGGGGCAUGGCCGUUCUUA